UCGCCAACUGGUGGCUCCGCCGCUGGCUGUGGAGGCUCCGCUACGCCGCGCUGGACGGCGACGAGGUGCUGCGGUCCAUGAGGCAGCAGCGAGCGGCCGACGAGGCGGCGGAGGCGACCGCGACGACCCAGAGUGCGGGCGGCAGGCUCUGGAACGCCGCGACGCGCGUCGUCGUCCGGUCCGCGAAGAGCCUGCUCGUGUCGUCCAGGAGCGGAGGCGACGUGGAUCGGUUGAGGCGCACCGUGGAGAGGUUGGAGCAGGCUUGCGCCAGGCUAGGCGACUUCCUCAAGCUGCUCGAGCUGGAGAUCAUGAGGUCGCAGGCGCCGCCGCCGGCGGCGGCGGCGGCGGCGGCUGCUGCUGCUCCAGAAACACGCGGCUGCAGCCACGACGGCGACACAGUGGAGGAUUUCGUCUCCGACACCAGCAGCCAGCCGGACACAAGCCUCGACGACGGAUCAGAAUCCGAGCAUGACGAUGACCUGACCUACAUUAUUUCGCGCGAGCACAUUUCGCAAGCGGACUACAUUGGCUGCACGGCAGCGAUCGGCCUGCAGAUCGUGACGCGAAAGAUCCAGCGAGCGGCGGGCAAGUUGAGGACGAUGCCGCCAGCCCCCCCUGUGCCUGGCACCACUGACACUGACACCGGUGAUUGCCCGGCACCAGAACCUGCAGACACGGCCUGGCUGCGCGGGAUGGUGGCCGACAUCCGCGAGGCCGUAAGACUCGGCGACAGGACGGAGGUCAACGCCGAGCGCAGGUGGCUGGCGGAGUGGCGCCGCGAGCUGCAAGCCGUGGCGGACAGAGCCGACCGCGUGCUGCUUGCGUCGCCGUCAUCUCUGGCAUCGCUGGGUGCUGGAGGAGACGAUGAGGUGGCGAGGAUGGUGCGGAGUUUGGAAACAGCGGCAGCACACCUGAGGGCCUACGUCACGCUGCUCAGGUUUGCUGUCGUGGUUGUUGAAAGUAGAUAGGAUUUUAC
Molecule: unclassified non-coding RNA, 976 nt
Filed under: Zea mays
Lineage: Eukaryota; Viridiplantae; Streptophyta; Magnoliopsida; Poales; Poaceae
Description: misc RNA Zm00001eb298740
Source: RNAcentral